GAGCACGUAGGUGGGUUUGUAAGUCAGAUGUGAAAGCCUUCUGUUCAACGGAAGAAUUGCAUCUGAAACUGCUAAUCUUGAGUAUAGGAGGGGAGAAUGGAACUUCUGGUGGAGCGGUGAAAUGCGUAGAUAUCAGAAGGAACGCCGGCGGCGAAAGCGAUUCUCUGGCCUAUUACUGACACUCAGUGUGCGAAAGCUAGGGGAGCAAACGGGAUUAGAUACCCCGGUAGUCCUAGCCGUAAACGAUGGGCACUAAGUAGAGGGAAUUACCGAUGUUCUCUCUGCCGUAGCUAACGCAUUAAGUGCCCCGCCUGGGGAGUACGGCCGCAAGGCUAAAACUCAAAAGAAUUGACGGGGGCUCGCACAAGCGGUGGAGCAUGUGGCUUAAUUCGAUGCAACGCGAAAAACCUUACCGGGGCUUGACAUGAUAGAAGUAGGAACCUGAAAGGGGGACGAACGGUAUCCAGUCCGUAGCUAUUACAGGUGUUGCAUGGCUGUCGUCAGCUCGUGUCGUGAGACGUUGGGUUAAGUCCCCUAACGAGCGAAACCCUUGUUUUUAGUUACCAGCGGGUUAUGCCGGGUACUCUAGAAAGACUGCCGUCGUCAAGACGGAGGAAGGUGGGGAUGACGUCAAGUCAUCAUGGCCCUUAUGCCCCGGGCUGCACACGUGCUACAAUGGUCGGUACAAACGGAAGCGAAGCCGAGAGGUGAAGCGAAUCC
RNAcentral lists this ribosomal RNA (720 nucleotides) under uncultured Candidatus Scalindua sp. RNAcentral describes it as "bacterial SSU rRNA". It matches the Rfam family "Bacterial small subunit ribosomal RNA", at positions 565 to 1274 of the family's 1533-position model. Lineage: Bacteria; Pseudomonadati; Planctomycetota; Candidatus Brocadiia; Candidatus Brocadiales; Candidatus Scalinduaceae. The record is from RNAcentral.